CAAUCUUCUCCGUUUUGCUAGGUUCAGAGUGUUUGAGAAAAAAUUUACUGUUCCUUUUCUCCGCAACCACCUUCCCACCAUUAAAUCCAAUAAGUCCUUUUCAGUCCUCCUCUUUUGAGUUCUGUGCAGCAUUAGAUACUGGCGAUGUCCACUUCAUGCCACUUUCCCUUGACGUCCAUGAAGACAGGCCUUCCCAGUUUUCUUACUGCUGUCUGGCUGCACUCUCAGUUUGCUCUUCAGACUACUUUAUUUCCUUUUCUCAUCCCUUAGAUAUUGAUGUUCUUCAGAGUUCUACCCUUAUUCUCUUUCAUCUCACUCUACUUGGAUUCCCUGUGUGAUCCCAUACACAGAAAUUUGAUCCCUUGCAAGUCUCUGUAGUGCCAUUUGUUCCCUGGGCAUCUAUACUUGAAUGUCUCCAGACCCCUUAAACUCAGUAAUUGAGCUAAAGUCAUAAUUUCUCUCCAAAGUCUAUACUUCCUCCAGAAUACUCCGAUUCAGUAGUGGUGCAAUGGCUCCACCUAAGACUGUUGUCAUGUAUGAUGCCUCCAGUUUCCUCUUCCUUCCUCUCUGCCUGCACCUACAUGUUAUCCAGAAAGAUCUUUGUAGCUACUCCCAAGUGUGUCUACUUCUCUCUAUCCCAUUACUACUGCCUCAGUCUAUGUCACAAUUAUCCUUUUCUGAGGUUGCUGCAGCAGCCCCUAAAGCAGCCUUCCUCCCCAUCCCGUGACCUUGCCCUGUCACCAUCCCAUUGUCCUCACUGAGCCUCAUUGUCCUGCUUGAAGCCUGAUUAUCCUCCUGCUUGAAGCUCUUCAUGUCUCCCCAGUGGCUCUCAGGACAAACCUCAACUCCAUACUCAGGCUAUCAAAACCCUUCAUGAUGUGGCCUCUGCCUAACUCUUUAGGCUCAUUUCUGGCCACAUUGCUCACAUUGCCCUAAACCUCCAGCUGUCCUAAAUUUUCAGUUUCUCAACUGACCAUCAGAUCUCUCAACCCUAGGCCUCUGCAGGUGCCUCUCAAACAGUUCCUGUUACUCAGAUGCUUAAGUUGCCUCUCCCUUGUGCUCUCUAUUCUUCCCAGUUGAAGCCCUCACGAGGGUAGAUUUAAAGUGUUGUUUAAUAUCAUCCUUAUCACACUCAACCCACUAGACCAUGAGAUCUGUGAUGGCGGCACUGGGGGAACAUUGUACCAUUGCAUCCCCUGUGCCUAACAUAUGUGUUCCUUGGCCACAACUGGUAGGAUUUUGUUAACUCAAUUUGAAAAUAUCAAGUUAGAAAUCUUGGAAGCUAAAUACAGGUGUAUGCCUUCUCUCUUAGUCAGAGGCACAUGUAGCAACCUCCAAACUUCCGUAACCAUGAAAAUGAUGUUUUUUAUCA
This 1372-nucleotide long non-coding RNA is filed under the name Homo sapiens (human). Its description in RNAcentral is "HSALNT0393572". Lineage: Eukaryota; Metazoa; Chordata; Mammalia; Primates; Hominidae. The record is from RNAcentral.